UGGGGAAUAUUGGACAAUGGGCGAAAGCCUGAUCCAGCGACGCCGCGUGGGUGAAGAAGGCCUGCGGGUUGUAAAGCCCUUUCGGUGGGGAAGAAAAGCCUCGAGCUAAUACCUCGGGGUCUUGACGUAACCCAUAGAAGAAGCACCGGCUAACUCUGUGCCAGCAGCCGCGGUAAUACAGAGGGUGCGAGCGUUAAUCGGAAUUACUGGGCGUAAAGCGCGCGUAGGCGGCUUUGCAAGUCGGGUGUGAAAUCCCCAGGCUUAACCUGGGAACUGCAUUCGAGACUGCAUUGCUAGAGUAUGGGAGAGGGAAGUGGAAUUUCCGGUGUAGCGGUGAAAUGCGUAGAUAUCGGAAGGAACAUCAGUGGCGAAAGCGACUUCCUGGACCAAUACUGACGCUCAUGUGCGAAAGCGUGGGGAGCAAACAGG
RNAcentral lists this ribosomal RNA (429 nucleotides) under uncultured bacterium. Its description in RNAcentral is "bacterial SSU rRNA". It matches the Rfam family "Bacterial small subunit ribosomal RNA", at positions 355 to 776 of the family's 1533-position model. The record is from RNAcentral.